GUGGGCGACGUCCACGAGUAGAUGACUCUUAAUCAUCGGGUCCCAGGUUCGAGCCCUGGUGCUCCCACCA
This 70-nucleotide transfer RNA is filed under the name Bradyrhizobium valentinum. RNAcentral describes it as "tRNA-Lys". Lineage: Bacteria; Pseudomonadati; Pseudomonadota; Alphaproteobacteria; Hyphomicrobiales; Nitrobacteraceae. The record is from RNAcentral.